UACGGAGGGUGCAAGCGUUAUCCGGAUUUAUUGGGNNUAAAGGGUNCGUAGGCGGGNUAUUAAGUCAGNGGUGAAAGCCUACAGCUUAACUGNAGAAUUGCCAUUGAUACUGGUACUCUUGANUAUNCCNGAAGUUGGCGGAAUGUGUCAUGUAGCGGUGAAAUGCUUAGAUAUGACNCAGAACACCGAUUGCGAAGGCAGCUGACUAAAGUAUUAUUGACGCUAAUGAACGAAAGCGUGGGGAGCGAACAGG
This 253-nucleotide ribosomal RNA is filed under the name uncultured bacterium. RNAcentral's name for it is "partial 16S ribosomal RNA". It matches the Rfam family "Bacterial small subunit ribosomal RNA", at positions 524 to 776 of the family's 1533-position model. The record is from RNAcentral.